Molecule: small RNA, 67 nt
Filed under: Caulobacter vibrioides NA1000
Lineage: Bacteria; Pseudomonadati; Pseudomonadota; Alphaproteobacteria; Caulobacterales; Caulobacteraceae
Description: small non-coding RNA
Source: RNAcentral
GUCCUGACGAUCGGCUCGUGGGUAUCCACGAUCUCCACGCACGUGUUGAGACCCACGAGCAAAAAGU